UACCAGCACCCCGAGUGGUCGGGACGAUUAUUGGGCCUAAAGCAUCCGUAGCCGGUUUUACAAGUCCCCCGUUAAAUCCAGCUGCUUAACAGAUGGGCUGCGGAGGAUACUAUAAGACUAGGAGGCAGGAGAGGCAAGCGGUACUCAGUGGGUAGGGGUAAAAUCCGUUGAUCCAUUGAAGACCACCAGUGGCGAAGGCGGCUUGCCAGAAUGCGCUCGACGGUGAGGGAUGAAAGCUGGGGGAGCAAGCCGG
RNAcentral lists this ribosomal RNA (253 nucleotides) under uncultured bacterium. RNAcentral describes it as "partial 16S ribosomal RNA". It matches the Rfam family "Archaeal small subunit ribosomal RNA", at positions 474 to 727 of the family's 1478-position model. The record is from RNAcentral.